UGCAGCAAGCUGGCAGCAUGGCUGAAAGUGGUUAGAGCCAAGGGAUAGGGAGGAGUUUCCUUAUUGCUUCCUUUGUGCUGUUUAUAUCUGAGUGGAUCUAGUGCUUCUGUCCUGAAACACAGAGGAUGUGGCGGGGUGUGCAGGGGGAAAAGGCACUUGUGGAAGAGGGUAGGAAAUGAUGUCUUUAACCAGGCUGGAGCUCAGCUCAGCUGGGAGAUGGGGGACAAUUCGUAAGGCCAAAUUUGGUCUAAUUAUUCCUUGCCUGGCACUAGGCAGCACUGGGGCUGAUCUAUUCCUCAUAUGCCUGUUUCCCAUCAGCAGGACUGAGCUGACUUCAGGCCAGCAAGUCCUGACUUACUUACACUGCUGUAGUUCUCAGAGGUAGGUCAGGUUUACUGAAGGAUGAUUUGAUGCUUUGGGCUUUGGUUUUCUACUUGGUGAAGGGGGAGAAGAUUGUCACAGAUAGGUAUCAGGGGCAAUGGUAUGGGACAUGAAGUCCAUCCUAGCUAGUGGAUGCAGAACAAACUGUCAGAGAACGGGAUGCAUCUGAUGUCUUUAGAGAAAUGCCCACCCAUAGCCAGGCUGGGUUCACUUUGCCCACCCACAGAAAGCUGUAAAAUCUACAGGGAAAGGGCCUGGUGGAACAGGCACCCAGUUCUUGCUGAACACAGAAAGAAAGGCUAGAGACACCAGGAAGCUCCCAUGGGAGGCCGAGUUCAACUGCUACUGUAACCACAGUGUUUGGGGUUCCUCAUACUGGAUCCACACAUGAUGCAGAUUUGGACUGAGUCAGAGCCCAUCAGUGAAUUAUCCUUGAUCUCUGAGAAGCCAAAGCUGUGCAUGAGCAUGGGAAACUGUCCUAGAUCGAGCUGCAGGAGGGCAGUGCACAAGAUGGAGACAGUGGAAGAUGCCAGUUGCAAGAUGUGUUUGUGCCCCCAUGCUGGUAGGGGCAGGAAGGGCAGGAGAAGGCUGGAAAGAGUGUGUGCAGGAUGCCUCUGAGCAGCAGGUUAAAAGCACUCAACAGAGGCAAGAACAGGAAGGAAGCAGGGGUUAAGCCUGAACAAGCAUCUUCCUCCUAAGCACAGCUUUUCAAACCCAGAGGGAAGUUUCUACCUAAACAGCUAGGCUGGAAGAUUGGGUGUGAACAGCAGGACUCCACUUCAACCAGUUUGCUCCUCACCAGCCAAGGUACAUGGACCCUACUCAAAUUGCUUUGGUACAGGCUGAUGCUGAUCACAGCAGAGGUGCUCUAACACAGGAACAGAAAUGUUUCUAACAACCUGCUGGGGCAAUGCAUCCAUUUAACAAUUACCUCCCCUCUCCAAACUUUAGAACUUCAUGUAGCCAGUCUGCUGGGGAAACCACCUGAGAUCACAGUGUAACAAACACCAAAGCUGAUUAAACAGACAACAGAAGAGUAAAACCCCAACUCUGCCAGUUUCUCUCCCUUCCAACCUGCCCUUGUUGAGCUGCCAUACCCCAGAAUCUGUGUCUUCCUUAGGAAAAAUAAAAGAGAGGCAGAAAACCAA
Molecule: long non-coding RNA, 1529 nt
Organism: Pezoporus occidentalis (night parrot)
Lineage: Eukaryota; Metazoa; Chordata; Aves; Psittaciformes; Psittacidae
Exons: 2
Source: RefSeq, a predicted model, not a curated record